GGGUUGUGAGGUUAAGCGAACAAGCGUACACGGUGGAUGCCCUGGCAGUCAGAGGCGAUGAAGGACGUGCUAAUCUGCGAAAAGCGCCGGUAAGGUGAUAUGAACCGUUAUAACCGGCGAUGUCCGAAUGGGGAAACCCGGUGCACUUCGGUGCAUCAUCGUUAGCUGAAUACAUAGGCUAACGAAGCGAACCGGGGGAACUGAAACAUCUAAGUACCCCGAGGAAAAGAAAUCAACCGAGAUUCCCCCAGUAGCGGCGAGCGAACGGGGAACAGCCCAGAGCCUGAAUCAGCUUGUGUGUCAGUGGAACGGUCUGGAAAGGCCGGCGAUACAGGGUGACAGCCCCGUACACGAAGGCACACAGGCUGUGAGCUCGAUGAGUAGGGCGGGACACGUGAUAUCCUGUCUGAAGAUGGGGGGACCAUCCUCCAAGGCUAAAUACUCCUGACUGACCGAUAGUGAACCAGUACCGUGAGGGAAAGGCGAAAAGAACCCCGGCGAGGGGAGUGAAACAGAACCUGAAACCGUGUACGUACAAGCAGUGGGAGCCUUCGUAAGAGGGUGACUGCGUACCUUUUGUAUAAUGGGUCAGCGACUUAUAUUCUGUAGCAAGGUUAACCGUAUAGGGGAGCCGAAGGGAAACCGAGUCUUAACCGGGCGUUAAGUUGCAGGGUAUAGACCCGAAACCCGGUGAUCUAGCCAUGGGCAGGUUGAAGGUUGGGUAACACUAACUGGAGGACCGAACCGACUAAUGUUGAAAAAUUAGCGGAUGACCUGUGGCUGGGGGUGAAAGGCCAAUCAAACCGGGAGAUAGCUGGUUCUCCCCGAAAGCUAUUUAGGUAGCGCCUCGUGAAUUCAUCUCCGGGGGUAGAGCACUGUUUCGGCUAGGGGGCCAUCCCGGCUUACCAACCCGAUGCAAACUGCGAAUACCGGAGAAUGUUAUCACGGGAGACACACGGCGGGUGCUAACGUCCGUCGUGAAGAGGGAAACAACCCAGACCGCCAGCUAAGGUCCCAAAGUCAUGGUUAAGUGGGAAACGAUGUGGGAAGGCCCAGACAGCCAGGAUGUUGGCUUAGAAGCAGCCAUCAUUUAAAGAAAGCGUAAUAGCUCACUGGUCGAGUCGGCCUGCGCGGAAGAUGUAACGGGGCUAAACCAUGCACCGAAGCUGCGGCAGCGACGCUUAUGCGUUGUUGGGUAGGGGAGCGUUCUGUAAGCCUGUGAAGGUGUGCUGUGAGGCAUGCUGGAGGUAUCAGAAGUGCGAAUGCUGACAUAAGUAACGAUAAAGCGGGUGAAAAGCCCGCUCGCCGGAAGACCAAGGGUUCCUGUCCAACGUUAAUCGGGGCAGGGUGAGUCGACCCCUAAGGCGAGGCCGAAAGGCGUAGUCGAUGGGAAACAGGUUAAUAUUCCUGUACUUGGUGUUACUGCGAAGGGGGGACGGAGAAGGCUAUGUCGGCCGGGCGACGGUUGUCCCGGUUUAAGCGUGUAGGCUGACUUUCCAGGCAAAUCCGGAAAGUUAAGGCUGAGGCGUGAUGACGAGGCACCACGGUGCUGAAGUGACAAAUGCCCUGCUUCCAGGAAAAGCCUCUAAGCAUCAGGUAACAUCAAAUCGUACCCCAAACCGACACAGGUGGUCAGGUAGAGAAUACCAAGGCGCUUGAGAGAACUCGGGUGAAGGAACUAGGCAAAAUGGUGCCGUAACUUCGGGAGAAGGCACGCUGACAUGUAGGUGAAGCCCCUGCGGGUGGAGCUGAAGUCAGUCGAAGAUACCAGCUGGCUGCAACUGUUUAUUAAAAACACAGCACUGUGCAAACACGAAAGUGGACGUAUACGGUGUGACGCCUGCCCGGUGCCGGAAGGUUAAUUGAUGGGGUUAUCGCAAGAGAAGCUCCUGAUCGAAGCCCCGGUAAACGGCGGCCGUAACUAUAACGGUCCUAAGGUAGCGAAAUUCCUUGUCGGGUAAGUUCCGACCUGCACGAAUGGCGUAAUGAUGGCCAGGCUGUCUCCACCCGAGACUCAGUGAAAUUGAACUCGCUGUGAAGAUGCAGUGUACCCGCGGCAAGACGGAAAGACCCCGUGAACCUUUACUACAGCUUGACACUGAACAUUGAGCCUUGAUGUGUAGGAUAGGUGGGAGGCUUUGAAGCGUGGACGCCAGUCUGCGUGGAGCCGACCUUGAAAUACCACCCUUUAAUGUUUGAUGUUCUAACCUGGCGCCGUAAUCCGGCGUGGGGACAGUGUCUGGUGGGUAGUUUGACUGGGGCGGUCUCCUCCCAAAGUGUAACGGAGGAGCACGAAGGUCAGCUAAUCCUGGUCGGACAUCAGGAGGUUAGUGCAAUGGCAUAAGCUGGCUUGACUGCGAGAGUGACGGCUCGAGCAGGUGCGAAAGCAGGUCAUAGUGAUCCGGUGGUUCUGUAUGGAAGGGCCAUCGCUCAACGGAUAAAAGGUACUCCGGGGAUAACAGGCUGAUACCGCCCAAGAGUUCAUAUCGACGGCGGUGUUUGGCACCUCGAUGUCGGCUCAUCACAUCCUGGGGCUGAAGUAGGUCCCAAGGGUAUGGCUGUUCGCCAUUUAAAGUGGUACGCGAGCUGGGUUUAGAACGUCGUGAGACAGUUCGGUCCCUAUCUGCCGUGGGCGCUGGAGAAUUGAGGGGGGCUGCUCCCAGUACGAGAGGACCGGAGUGGACGCAUCACUGGUGUUCGGGUUGUCAUGCCAAUGGCACUGCCCGGUAGCUAAAUGCGGAAGAGAUAAGUGCUGAAAGCAUCUAAGCACGAAACUUGCCCCGAGAUGAGUUCUCCCUGAGACUGUAAGUCUCCUGAAGGAACGUUGAAGACGACG
RNAcentral lists this ribosomal RNA (2836 nucleotides) under Cronobacter sakazakii. RNAcentral describes it as "partial 23S ribosomal RNA". It matches the Rfam family "Bacterial large subunit ribosomal RNA". Lineage: Bacteria; Pseudomonadati; Pseudomonadota; Gammaproteobacteria; Enterobacterales; Enterobacteriaceae. The record is from RNAcentral.